CACGUCAUGGCGUGACCAAUAAGCCAAGUACAGCGCAGUGAGGUUGCUGCAGGCGAUGGCUGCAACAUGUGUUUGCCGAGGUCGGCUCUGUCUCCGGCCGAGGUCGGCUCUGGCCUCUGGCGGGGCCAAGGUCUGCCUGGCUCUUAGCUGGGCCGAGGUCUGCCUAGUUCUUGGCGGGGCCAAGGUCUGCCUGGCUCAUGGCGGGGCCGAGGUCAGUCUGGCUCUUUGCAAGGUGAUGGAAGCCCUCAAACGAUGGAUGGUGGAUGAUGUGUUGAUGGCGUGUUGGGUGGCUAAGAUUCACCAAAGUGUUGGAUGAAUGCCCACAGUAGGAUGGCUGGUUGGGGCUUGAUGGCGUGAUGGAUGGAUGGGAUUAAUGGACCACCUCGGGCAGCACCAAAAAUCAAAGGAUGGCGGUGGAAUUUGAAGAUAGGACUAGCUCAAGCUAGCACCUAUUUCCAUGGGUCGGUUUAGAGCUAAUACCCAAAAUUUUUUUGUUCAUUGAAAAGAUCUUUUCAAAUUACAUUAGAGGCUUAUUUAUAGGACCCCCUAAGGAUCUCAACCAUCUCUUCAAACGAAAGACAAUUCAAACUCAAAUUUCAAAUUCAAAACAGCAACUAUAAUGCCUAAAGAUCCUCCUCUCAAGGGAUGACUAAGUCAACCUCCAAGCCCAUGCACAUGUCUUUAAAUUCAAAUGGCUCAUCUGCAUGCCUUUUAAUUUAAAUUCAAAUGGCUGAUUGCUCCCCCUAAGAUUUAGAAAACCACAUGCCAUGCUCCAGGCCAUGUUCCUCCUCAUGUGCCAUGCCACCUUGCUAGUCCAUCAAGCCUUGCACGCCUGCUUUCAAUUUAGGCUCACACCCAAUUGCAAUUGGUCCAUGCAAGCCCCCUUCCAAAACUUGUACACAAACAAUCACCACUUGUUUUGCCUUUCUAGCUACGGCUUGCUUUGCUUUCCUUGUUGCAUUUCUCAUGGCCUUCCUCAUGUCUUCAUCAUUCCUCCCCCCUUCAAAACUGACCUUGUCCUCAAGGUCCAACUCGGAAAAUUGUUCUUUGAGAACUUGAAUGUUCUCCCAUGUAGCAUCUUCAGCUACAAGUCCUCUCCAUUGCACCAAGGCUUCGGUUCGAAUUUGGCCUCCCUUCGUCACUUGCCGGUAUUCCAAUACCUUCCUUGGCUGAACAUCAACCAUUCCUUUCUCAUCCACCAUUGGCCAAUCAUUGACAACCUUGCCUGAAUCUCCAACUCUUCUUCUAAGCCAUGAGACUUGAAAAACCGGAUGGAUGAGAACCUCGGUUGGCAAAUCUAACUUGUAAGCAAGCUGCCCACACUUCUCCAAGACUUGAUAAGGACCAAAAUAUUUGGCCCUUAAUUUGCUGAGUGCUGCCUUUGAUAGAGCCUUGUGCUUCCUUGGUAGGUAUUUGAGGUAGACCCACUCACCCGGCUCAAAGGACUCCAUGCUCCUCCCUUUGUCAAAGUGCUUCUUCAUUUGCUCUUGAGCUUUUGCCAAAUUCUUCUUGAGCUCUCUCAAGACUUCAUCUCUUUCCCUAAGAUCCAUGUCCACCAAAUGAUUAAGUGAACUUCCAGCUUCAUAGGAUAGUGUAGGGGCCGGCCUUCCAUAGAGAACCUCAAAUGGUGAUGCUUUGAUGGAUCGGUGGUAUGAAGUAUUAUACCAAAAUUCUGCCCAAGAUAAAUGCUCUUCCUACUGUUUUGGAUAUUGACGCACAUAGCAUCUAAGAUAUUGCUCAAGAGUCCGAUUAGUUACCUCACUUUGGCCAUCGGUUUGGAGGUGGUAAGUGGAGCUUCUUGCCAACUCUGUGCCAUGCAUCUUGAAGAACUCCCUCUAGAAAUUGUUCAUGAAAAUCCAAUCUCUAUCCAUCACGAUACUCCUUGGCAUGCCAUGCAGUUUCAUCACAUUAUUCGCAUAGAGGUUGGCUAUAGACUUGGCGAUGUAGGGAUGCAUCAUAGCCAAGUGAGCAUAUUUGGACAGUCGUUCUACCACCACAAGUACUCCAUUAAACCCUUUGGAAAAAGGAAGCCCUUCGAUGAAAUCCAUGGUGACAUCUUCUCAUGUGUUAGAAGAGAUUGGUAAGGGUUGCAUCAAACCCUUUGUUUUGCAGCUCUCGCUCUUCACCUUUUGACAAGUAUCACACUCCCCCACAUAUCUCCUUAUGUCACCUUUCAUGCCAUCCCAAAAGAACAAGUUAGCUACCCUUGCCUAAGUUCUGUACACCCCCGAAUGUCCUCCCUCCUUAGAAUCAUGAAAGUGGCUCAUGACCCUUUUUCUAAGCUACCCUACAUUCAGCAGUACCACCCUUCCUUUAUAUUUCAAGAGCCCAUUUUGUACUUCAUUAUUUUCCACUCCUCGUCCACCCACUUCUAACUUCUCCAUCACUUCAGAAUAUUUCAGCAACAUCUUUCUCAAAUCUUCCGGCAUUUCAGCCCUCAAAUCCACACCCUUAACUCCACUCUCAUCUUCCUCACCCUCACUCAAGGCUCUCGACUGAGAGGCAAUAGUGAUAGCAAAGCAUUGCCCCCCAAGCCUCAGAAUUUUUUCCAUCUCAUUCAGCCCAAUGGUCCUACCUCCAACUUUUCCAUUCAUUCUCAAAGUGACUCAUUUUCCUCCCCACAUAAACUCGAUACUCAUUUUUUUAUAAUCCGACACCACCUUUCCUAGCUCCUUUAACCAUUGCACACCCAACACUACAUCCAACCCUACAAUUGGCAAAGAGCAUAGGUCCGCCACAACCUCAAUCCCUGGCAUCUUCACAUACACUCCCUUAAACAUCUCUCUACACUCCAGCUUAUCACCACUAGCUACCUUGCCCUCAAAAGGUUCAAUUUCAGUCAAGGGUAACUUCAACAUUCAGCUACUUUAGAGUUUAUGAAGUUUAAAGAAGAGCUAUUAUCAAUGAGAAUGAUUACCUCAAACUUGCCAAUGUGUGCUUGAGUCCUCAUGGUUCUAGAACCCGCAACCCCGGCCAAGGCAUAGAUGGAAAUGUGUGGCUCCCCAUGCUCGGCUUCAUCAAUCUCCUCCUCCUUGCAAGCUCUACUGUGGCCCUCCUCUUGGGUUUCCUCCCCCUCAAGAACUGGCUCAAUGAGGUAGACAUGCUUCACCUUGCAUUUGUGACCCGGUGUGAACCUCUCAUCACAAUUAAAGCAAAGACGCUUCUCCCUUCUUUGUUGCAUUUCCUCCCAGGAUAACUUCUUUAUCCCCUUGAUAGGAGGCUUGCCUCUAGAUGUACUCCCAGUAGGACCUCCCGGGAUGAAGCCCUUGUUGAAUUCCUUAUUGACCCCAAAUGGUGCAGCCAUAGGGAUUGUCUUCUUUACCUCAAACCGGUUGUUCCUCCUUAAGUCCUGAAUUUGAUCAUCCUUCAUCGUUGCAAUCUCCAAAGCUUGCAUUAGUGACCUUGGCUUCCGAAGCUUCACUUCAGCAGCCAAUUCCCCCUUCAAUCUACCUACAAAAGACCCAAUAAGAGCCUUCUCGGACCAGCCAUGCACCCUAGUAGAUAGGUGCUCGAACUUCUUUUGAUAGUCCCUCAAGGAACCCGCUCACUUGAUCUUCAAAAGAGCUUCAUGGUAGUCAACAUAAUCAGGGGAUCCGAACCUCCUCAAGAGCUCUUUGACAAACCUCUUCCAUCUCAAUUCCUUUCUUUGGGCUUUGUAGGUCUUCCUCAUCCAUUGUCACCAUUGAUUAGCUUUACCUUCUGAGAAGUAGGCAGCAUAAGACACCUUUGCUUGACCUUUCAUGGGAUGGUGCUCAAAGUAUUGCUUAGCUCGGCUAACCCAUGUGCUAGGAUCGUCCCCAUUGAAUUUGAAAAAAUACAUCUUAGGCAUAGCUGCCCCUCCCCUCGGUCUUCUCUCAUAUCCUCCUCUCCCUUCGGUCCUCUUCAUCUUCUUCACUCCCUUCGGAUGACUCCUCCGCUUGACUUGAAGAUGCUUCACUAGAUGAACUUGAACUUUCUAACCUUUCAUGGCGCCUCUUGCCCCUAGAUCCCUCGGAUCCUCUAGAGCUUUGGUCCCCCUUGGCUCUUCUUCCUUCUUGUUUGUUCAUGGACACCACGAGCUGAUGGAGCACCUUUUCGACGCGGCCUAGUCUCUCAUUGGCAGCAGCGUUUUGAGCCUCUAAGGUUGCUUCCAAGGCUUCAAUCCGCUCCCUAUGAGUUGGUUGUCUUUCGGCCAUAAUCUUCUUCUUGUUGGCAUCAAUAGCUUCCUCUUCCUUGGGUUGGAUGCAUCUCAAUGAAAGCACCAAUGAUGGAAGCCCUCCAAAGAUGGAUGGUGGAUGCUGUGUUCAUGGUGUGCUGGGUGGCUAGGAUUCACCAAAGUGUUGGAUAAACACCCACGGUAGGAUGGCUGGUUGGGGCUUGAUGGCGUGAUGGAUGGAUGGGAUUAAUGGCCCACCUCGGGGCAGCACCAAAAAUCAAAGGAUGGUGGGAUUUGGAGAUAGGACUAGCUCAAGCUAGCACCUAUUUCCAUAGGUCGGUUUAGAGCUAAUGCCCAGAAUUUUUUAUUCAUUCAAAAGAUCUUUUCAAAUUACAUGAGAGGCUUAUUUAUAGAACCCCCUAAGGAUCUCAGCCAUCUCUUCAAACGAAAGACGAUUCAAACUCAAAUUUCAAAUUCAAAACAGCAACUCUAAUGCCUAAAGAUCCUCCUUUCAAAGGAUGACCAAGUCAACCUCCAAGCCCAUGCACGUGUUUUUAAAUUCAAAUGGCUCAUCUGAUUGCUCCCCCUAAGAUUUAGGAAAACACAUGCCAUGCUCCUCCUCAUGUGCCAUGCCACCUUGCUGGUCCAUCAAGCCUUGCACACCUUCUUUCAAUUUAGGCUCACACCCAAUUGCAAUUGGUCCAUGCAAGCCUCCUUCCAAACCUUGUACACAACCAAUCACCACUUGUUUUGCCUC
RNAcentral lists this long non-coding RNA (4892 nucleotides) under Phoenix dactylifera (date palm). Its description in RNAcentral is "long non-coding RNA (PDAC_LNC001667)". Lineage: Eukaryota; Viridiplantae; Streptophyta; Magnoliopsida; Arecales; Arecaceae. The record is from RNAcentral.